AUUGAACGCUGGCGGCAUGCCUUACACAUGCAAGUUGAACGGCAGCACGGGUGCUUGCACCUGGUGGCGAGUGGCGAACGGGUGAGUAAUACAUCGGAACAUGUCCUGUAGUGGGGGAUAGCCCGGCGAAAGCCGGAUUAAUACCGCAUACGAUCUACGGAUGAAAGCGGGGGACCUUCGGGCCUCGCGCUAUAGGGUUGGCCGAUGGCUGAUUAGCUAGUUGGUGGGGUAAAGGCCUACCAAGGCGACGAUCAGUAGCUGGUCUGAGAGGACGACCAGCCACACUGGGACUGAGACACGGCCCAGACUCCUACGGGAGGCAGCAGUGGGGAAUUUUGGACAAUGGGCGAAAGCCUGAUCCAGCAAUGCCGCGUGUGUGAAGAAGGCCUUCGGGUUGUAAAGCACUUUUGUCCGGAAAGAAAUCCUUGGCUCUAAUACAGUCGGGGGAUGACGGUACCGGAAGAAUAAGCACCGGCUAACUACGUG
RNAcentral lists this ribosomal RNA (486 nucleotides) under uncultured bacterium. RNAcentral describes it as "partial 16S ribosomal RNA". It matches the Rfam family "Bacterial small subunit ribosomal RNA", at positions 30 to 507 of the family's 1533-position model. The record is from RNAcentral.